AGAGUUUGAUCCUGGCUCAGAUUGAACGCUGGCGGCAUGCUUUACACAUGCAAGUCGAACGGCAGCGGGGGCUUCGGCCUGCCGGCGAGUGGCGAACGGGUGAGUAAUGCAUCGGAACGUGCCCAGUCAUGGGGGAUAACUACGCGAAAGCGUAGCUAAUACCGCAUACGCCCUGAGGGGGAAAGCGGGGGAUCGCAAGACCUCGCGUGAUUGGAGCGGCCGAUGUCGGAUUAGCUGGUUGGUGGGGUAAAGGCCUACCAAGGCGACGAUCCGUAGCGGGUCUGAGAGGAUGAUCCGCCACACUGGGACUGAGACACGGCCCAGACUCCUACGGGAGGCAGCAGUGGGGAAUUUUGGACA
RNAcentral lists this ribosomal RNA (360 nucleotides) under uncultured bacterium. RNAcentral describes it as "bacterial SSU rRNA". It matches the Rfam family "Bacterial small subunit ribosomal RNA", at positions 8 to 370 of the family's 1533-position model. The record is from RNAcentral.